Molecule: ribosomal RNA, 565 nt
Filed under: Streptomyces acidiscabies 84-104
Lineage: Bacteria; Bacillati; Actinomycetota; Actinomycetes; Kitasatosporales; Streptomycetaceae
Description: bacterial LSU rRNA
Rfam family: Bacterial large subunit ribosomal RNA
Source: RNAcentral
AGGGAGCUUGACUGUGAGACCGACGGGUCGAGCAGGGACGAAAGUCGGGACUAGUGAUCCGGCGGUGGCUUGUGGAAGCGCCGUCGCUCAACGGAUAAAAGGUACCCCGGGGAUAACAGGCUGAUCUUCCCCAAGAGUCCAUAUCGACGGGAUGGUUUGGCACCUCGAUGUCGGCUCGUCGCAUCCUGGGGCUGGAGUCGGUCCCAAGGGUUGGGCUGUUCGCCCAUUAAAGCGGUACGCGAGCUGGGUUUAGAACGUCGUGAGACAGUUCGGUCCCUAUCCGCUGCGCGCGCAGGAACAUUGAGAAGGGCUGUCCCUAGUACGAGAGGACCGGGACGGACGAACCUCUGGUGUGCCAGUUGUUCUGCCAAGGGCAUGGCUGGUUGGCUACGUUCGGGAGGGAUAACCGCUGAAAGCAUCUAAGCGGGAAGCCUGCUUCGAGAUGAGUGUUCCCACCUCCUUGAGAGGGUAAGGCUCCCAGUAGACGACUGGGUUGAUAGGCCAGAUCUGGAAGCACCGUAAGGUGUGGAGGUGACUGGUACUAAUAGGCCGAGGGCUUGUCCUC